This 409-nucleotide ribosomal RNA is filed under the name Vibrio cholerae. RNAcentral's name for it is "bacterial SSU rRNA". It matches the Rfam family "Bacterial small subunit ribosomal RNA", at positions 637 to 1045 of the family's 1533-position model. Lineage: Bacteria; Pseudomonadati; Pseudomonadota; Gammaproteobacteria; Vibrionales; Vibrionaceae. The record is from RNAcentral.
CAAGCUAGAGUACUGUAGAGGGGGGUAGAAUUUCAGGUGUAGCGGUGAAAUGCGUAGAGAUCUGAAGGAAUACCGGUGGCGAAGGCGGCCCCCUGGACAGAUACUGACACUCAGAUGCGAAAGCGUGGGGAGCAAACAGGAUUAGAUACCCUGGUAGUCCACGCCGUAAACGAUGUCUACUUGGAGGUUGUGCCCUAGAGGCGUGGCUUUCGGAGCUAACGCGUUAAGUAGACCGCCUGGGGAGUACGGUCGCAAGAUUAAAACUCAAAUGAAUUGACGGGGGCCCGCACAAGCGGUGGAGCAUGUGGUUUAAUUCGAUGCAACGCGAAGAACCUUACCUACUCUUGACAUCCAGAGAAUCUAGCGGAGACGCUGGAGUGCCUUCGGGAGCUCUGAGACAGGUGCUGCA